This 468-nucleotide ribosomal RNA is filed under the name uncultured bacterium. RNAcentral's name for it is "partial 16S ribosomal RNA". The stretch from base 48 to 468 matches the Rfam family "Bacterial small subunit ribosomal RNA", at positions 38 to 507 of the family's 1533-position model. The record is from RNAcentral.
GGGGGGGGGGGGGGGGGGGGGGGGGGGGGGGGGGGGGGGGGGGGGGGGGCGGGGGGGGGGGGGGGGUCGAGGGGCGAACGGGGGAGGAACACGGGAGGAACCUGCCCUUGACUGUGGGGUAACUUCAGGAAGCGGGGGCUAAUAGCGGAGAGGAGCUCCUGCUGCAUGGGGGGGGUUGGAAAGGUUCGGCGGUUGGGGAUGGACUCGCGGCUUAUCAGCUUGUUGGGGGGGUAGUGGCUUACCAAGGCUUUGACGGGUAGCCGGCCUGAGAGGGUGACCGGCCACAUUGGGACUGAGAUACGGCCCAGACUCCUACGGGAGGCAGCAGUGGGGAAUAUUGCACAAUGGGCGGAAGCCUGAUGCAGCAACGCCGCGUGCGGGAUGACGGCCUUCGGGUUGUAACCCGCUUUCGCCUGUGACGAAGCGUGAGUGACGGUAAUGGGUAAAGAAGCACCGGCUAACUACGUG